This 705-nucleotide long non-coding RNA is filed under the name Nicotiana benthamiana. Its description in RNAcentral is "long non-coding RNA (NBEN_LNC002595)". The record is from RNAcentral. Lineage: Eukaryota; Viridiplantae; Streptophyta; Magnoliopsida; Solanales; Solanaceae.
AGUUGAUCCCAUCAUUGACCAAGGUCCGUCUAAGCGAAUGAAAGUAUGAAACGUCUAAGCAGUUGGUGGCUGCAAGAAUUUGUCCGAUGCUCCAGAUGGUUCUGAUGAAAUGGUACUGUCUAAGGCUGCAAGAAUUUGUACGAUGCUCCAGAUGGUUCUGCUGAAAUGGUACUGUCCAAGCGGUUGGUGGCUGCAAGAAUUUGUACGAUGCUCCAGAUGGUUCUGGGUGAUCCUUAACUAAAUAUUUCCUGCACCUAGUGACUGCAAGUGCUAAAUCUACGAUGCUUGAAAUGGUCCAGAGUGAUCCUUAACUUGAUAGUAGAUUUUUCUGUAUACUAUGUAAAGUAUUAAAUCUUAUGUUAGUCAGAAUCCAUGUAGAUCCUAUCAAGGAGUUAGUUACCUGUAGGCUGUAUGGCCAUGUAAUGCUGUUACAUUAGUUUCCAAUCGUGAAUUUUACCUUAGCUUUCACAUUUUGGAACACAGUUAUUUGGCUCAAAUAUUUUAACAAAUGUUUUCGUCAUUUGGAAAUCGGAAUCUUUUUCAGGGUUGAAUUUGCGGAAAACAAAUUAUUUUUUUAAUGGAAAGAUUGAUUAUGCAGACGUUUAUUCCAUUGGUUGGAGAAGCAGUGUCAGGAGAUUAUAUAAAAUAAAAAUGUGUCUGGACGUACUUGUCCUGAAUUUUUAUAUGUGUUUAUUUUGUUAAGCA